AACCAUAGAAACCUGCGGAGUACCUGCGGAGGGAUCAUUAUAGUAUAUGGAAUCUCCAUUCUAUAAACCCACUCUGCGUAUCUUGUAACUGUUGCUUCCAUGGGACUUGGUUCCGCUACACCGGCUUCACGGCUGGUGAGCGCCCAUGGAAGGAGAAACAAAACUCUUCUUUGAAAUGUAGUCAGUCUGAACAAGUUUUUAUAAACGUUAAAACUUUUAACAAUGGAUCUCAGAUCGGAA
This 240-nucleotide unclassified non-coding RNA is filed under the name soil metagenome. Its description in RNAcentral is "partial contains 5.8S ribosomal RNA, internal transcribed spacer 2, and large subunit ribosomal RNA". The record is from RNAcentral.